RNAcentral lists this ribosomal RNA (179 nucleotides) under uncultured bacterium. Its description in RNAcentral is "partial 16S ribosomal RNA". It matches the Rfam family "Bacterial small subunit ribosomal RNA", at positions 331 to 526 of the family's 1533-position model. The record is from RNAcentral.
GAUUACUCCUACGGGAGGCAGCAGUGGGGAAUAUUGCACAAUGGGCGAAAGCCUGAUGCAGCGACGCCGCGUGAGCGAAGAAGUAUUUCGGUAUGUAAAGCUCUAUCAGCAGGGAAGAAAAUGACGGUACCUGACUAAGAAGCCCCGGCUAACUACGUGCCAGCAGCCGCGGUAAUAAU